GCUGGAACCGUUUUUCGUAGAGAUCAUUUGUCAGUGUCGGAAUCAGAUUCUGACAACAUGUCAAAUAUUAAAAUUUCUCAGAUUGAUAAUACUGUUAUGACACUCGGUGGUCGAAUAGCCAACGGACCGGCGGAUGCCACGCAUCUUGUAAUGACACGAGUAACAUUGGUUAGUGUUCGAUACUGCUUAUCUAGGAUAUGGAUUACUAAAAGUGUCGGUGCAUGGUUUUUCCUAUGUGAAGGAUGUGGAUGAUACCUUUUAGUGUAAACCGUACAAUGUUCUCGAAUCAACCAACCGGAAUUUUUCUUCAAUUCUCUUCAGGGAAAACAGCAUGUUCGGCCAAGAAGAUCCGGAAAACGAAGCUUGAGAAACCCGGAAUACAUCGUGAUUAUAAGUUGUACGGAAUGUCAAAUCUUUAUACAACCAUUUAUUGAAAAAAAAAUUGUAACAUGCAUACCUUGCUACUUCACUAAGCGUUUGUUUCGUAGUAUAUACAUUGAUGGCGGGCGAACGAAAGUAUUCUAAGUUAUUUACGUUCACUGAUCCUAUCAACAUAAAUGAAAUAAAAUGUUUAAAG
Malaya genurostris is the source of this 577-nucleotide long non-coding RNA. RefSeq lists it as uncharacterized. The transcript has 3 exons. The record is from RefSeq and is a predicted model, not a curated record. NCBI's taxonomy places the organism in Eukaryota, Metazoa, Arthropoda, Insecta, Diptera, Culicidae.